Diceros bicornis minor is the source of this 157-nucleotide small nuclear RNA. RefSeq annotates it as U1 spliceosomal RNA. The transcript has a single exon. Lineage: Eukaryota; Metazoa; Chordata; Mammalia; Perissodactyla; Rhinocerotidae. The record is from RefSeq and is a predicted model, not a curated record.
AUACUUACCUGUCAGGGGAGACACCAUGAUGGUGGUUUUCGCAAGGCAAGACUCAUCCAUUGCACUCGGAUAUGCUGACCCUUGUGAUUUACCCAAACGUGGGAAACUCGACUGCAUCAUUUGUGGUAGUGGGGGACUGCAUUCGCACUUUCCCAUG